CGUUCGCUGCCCUCCCUACUCUGUACCAAAUCCUUACACAGCGACGACACCGGACCGAAAAUUUCUCGGCGGCUGCGGCUGCGGCUGCGGCGACGGCUGCGGCGGCGGCCAAGAUCCUGAGCCAAGCUGGGCAGGCUCGCGCAGAGAAGAUGCUGAUCCAUCUCCUCUCCGAUGGAUCCUAACCGUUUCGUUGCCGGUGGCGCAGUUUGUGGCAGAUUAGAUCGGAUUCCUCACCUCCUCCCCGCUCGCUCCCAGAUCAGCUCGCCGCCGUCCUCCUCCACCCCCACCCCCUCUCGCGAUUCAGCACUAGCUCGGCGGUCGUGGAUCCUCGCCUCCUUCCCGGCCGUCCGCUUCUGGUUCCGCGAACAGGCCACCACAGUUCUUCGUUCUUCAGGUAGAUCGAACUGGUGAAGUGUAUAAGAGUCCAUGGAGGUUGUCAUCUCUCUCCCAGCAGGAAGCUCGAUUGCCAGGAAGCACCACACGAGGCAAAACAAUAGAUAUUUUUGGUCUUGUACCAGCAAGUAGCUUGUUGGGCGAUGAUAAUUUCAGUCUUUACCAUUUGGUCUUGCCGGCCAUAUACUAAAAAUGAUCUGUAUGCCUCAUGUACUCAAGUACUUAAAUGCUUGCUGAGCACUGAUAAUUUCAGUCCUUAAUUUGCUCUAAUUCCAGUUUGACAUGUACGCGUGGUUC
Molecule: long non-coding RNA, 690 nt
Organism: Triticum dicoccoides
Lineage: Eukaryota; Viridiplantae; Streptophyta; Magnoliopsida; Poales; Poaceae
Exons: 2
Source: RefSeq, a predicted model, not a curated record